UACAGAGGGUGCAAGCGUUGUUCGGAAUUAUUGGGCGUAAAGCGCGUGUAGGCGGCUUUGCAAGUCGGGUGUGAAAUCCCUCGGCUUAACCGAGGAAGUGCGCCCGAAACUGCAGAGCUUGAGUACCGGAGAGGAUGGUGGAAUUCCCCAAGUAGAGGUGAAAUUCGUAGAUAUGGGGAGGAACACCGGUGGCGAAGGCGACCAUCUGGACGGAUACUGACGCUGAGACGCGAAAGCGUGGGUAGCAAACAGG
This 253-nucleotide ribosomal RNA is filed under the name uncultured bacterium. RNAcentral's name for it is "partial 16S ribosomal RNA". It matches the Rfam family "Bacterial small subunit ribosomal RNA", at positions 524 to 776 of the family's 1533-position model. The record is from RNAcentral.